Molecule: ribosomal RNA, 910 nt
Filed under: uncultured bacterium
Lineage: Bacteria
Description: bacterial SSU rRNA
Rfam family: Bacterial small subunit ribosomal RNA
Source: RNAcentral
ACGCUAGCUACAGGCUUAACACAUGCAAGUCGAGGGGAAACGGCAUUUAGUGCUUGCACCGAAGGGACGUCGACCGGCGCACGGGUGAGUAACGCGUAUCCAACCUUCCCAUAACUAAGGAAUAACCUGCCGAAAGGCAGACUAAUACCUUAUGUAAUCCUUUGAUGGCAUCAGAUUAGGAUAAAAGAUUUAUCGGUUAUGGAUGGGGAUGCGUCUGAUUAGCUUGUUGGCGGGGUAACGGCCCACCAAGGCAACGAUCAGUAGGGGUUCUGAGAGGAAGGUCCCCCACAUUGGAACUGAGACACGGUCCAAACUCCUACGGGAGGCAGCAGUGAGGAAUAUUGGUCAAUGGACGGAAGUCUGAACCAGCCAAGUAGCGUGCAGGAAGACGGCCCUAUGGGUUGUAAACUGCUUUUGUAUGGGGAUAAAGUCAAUCACGUGUGAUUGUUUGCAGGUACCAUACGAAUAAGGACCGGCUAAUUCCGUGCCAGCAGCCGCGGUAAUACGGAAGGUUCGGGCGUUAUCCGGAUUUAUUGGGUUUAAAGGGAGCGUAGGCCGGAGAUUAAGUGUGUUGUGAAAUGUAGACGCUCAACGUCUGACUUGCAGCGCAUACUGGUUUCCUUGAGUACGCACAACGUUGGCGGAAUUCGUCGUGUAGCGGUGAGAUGCUUAGAUAUGACGAAGAACUCCGAUUGCGAAGGCGGCUGACGGGAGCGCAACUGACGCUGAAGCUCGAAGGUGCGGGUAUCGAACAGGAUUAGAUACCCUGGUAGUCCGCACAGUAAACGAUGGAUGCCCGCUGUUGGUACGUGGUAUCAGCGGCUAAGCGAAAGCAUUAAGCAUCCCACCUGGGGAGUACGCCGGCAACGGUGAAACUCAAAGGAAUUGACGGGGGCCCGCACAAGCGGAG